CCCAUUGCCCCCAAUUCAGCCUCUCUGUAUUUGCAAACUUCUUUAGAAACUCAACCAUCACCACUUGGAGAACCAAUGUUAUUCCGAUGAUGGCCAUGAACAACUUGUUCUUGUGUAUUCCCUUAAAGACAUUCUUCUCCUCCAGGUUUCGUGCGUUGAAUUCAUUGAACACUUGGCAAAGAACAAACGUGUUGAAAAACAACGUAUCGUUUACCUUCUUGCUAACACCAAAGAUUGAUUCUCCUUUGAAUUGUAAGGUUGAUAAAACAGCAAUCUGGUAUGAAGCUUGAGCCAUUAGAUUCCUCCACAUAAUAUUCGUGAUAAGUGGUGCUGUCCUACCGACUGGUUUCUUCUUCAUGACUUCCUCGGUUGGCUUCUCUGUAGCAAGUGCUAAUGCCCCUAAUGUGUCCAUGAUCAAAUUUACCCAUAGCAAUUGUACUGAUGUGAGUGGUUCCUCACCAGACAAAACAGCUGCUACAAAGCUGAUCAUGAGCGCGGCCACAUUUGCUGUGAGCUGAAAUUGGAUGAAUUUCUGGAUGUUGAUAUAGAAACAUCUUCCCCAUUUCAGAAUUGUGACAACUGAAGCAAAAUUAGCAUCUAAGAUGACAAUAUCAGAACUCUCUUUAGCUACUUCAGUCCCCUGAAUCCCCAUAGAAAGUCCUAUAUCUGCUUCCUUUAAAGCUGGUGCAUCGUUUGCUCCAUCACCUGUGACCGCAACCACAUGACCUUUCUUUCUCAAGCACUGCACCAUUAGAAGUUUGUCAAAAGGGGAUGAUCUUGCCAUCACGCAUAUCUUCUCCACUCUCUCCAUCCGUUCUUCAUCUGUGAGGCUGCGAAAUUCUUCACCUUCUAUGACUUCUCCUUCAUCUACUUCCUGAUUAGGAUGAAGAAUCCCACAUUCUGUUGCUAUGGCUUUUGCAGUGAAAACAUUGUCUCCAGUGAUCAUCUUGAUGUUCACACCAGCACUUUGGCAAGCUUCCACUGCUUUCUUCACACCUGGUCGACAUGGAUCUUUUAGGCCAACAAAGCCCAAAAGAAUGAAAGAGUUGUCUGGAACAUUUCCAUGCAUAUGUUCAUUAUCCUUCUGCUCAGCUUUUGGCACUUGCUUGUGUGCGAAUGCGAUACAUCUCAGGCUGCUGGCAGCCAUUCCUUCAAUUAUCCUGUCACAUUCUUCCUUAUCUGAUUCCUCUAGAGGUUUUACGUUCCCUUCUAGAUCAUAGUAAUGGGAGCACAUUCUUGAAAUCAUUUCAGCAGCACCUUUCCAAUGUGCAUGAAUUGUGCCAUCACUGUUGUUCUUGAUCAGGACACCACUCUUCUUUUUCUCUGAAUUGAAAGCUUCCACAUGUAGAAUGUUGAAAUUUCUUUUGAUUUGAUCCAUCUCCAUAUUCAAUUCCGUAACAGCCCAUGAAAGAAUAGCUUUUUCAGUAGGGCUGCCUGAGAACUCAAAGUUGGAAGAUGGAUCGGAGGACUUGAAAACACUACCUGUAGUGUUUAAUCCAACCCCUUGAUGGAAUAGUUCAAGAACUUUUGCCGAAAUUGAUGUAUGAAUUUCUGCCAUGGCUUUUGCAGUGAAAACAUUGUCUCCAGUGAUCAUCUUGAUCUUCACACCAGCAUUCUGGCAAUCUUCCACAGCUUUCUUCAUGCCAGGUCGACAUGGAUCUUUUAGGCCAAGAAAGCCCAAAAGAAUUAUAGAGUUGUCUGGAACAUUUCCAUGCAUAUGUUCAUGAUCCUCCUGCUCAGCUUUUGGCACUUGCUUGUGUGCGAAUGCAAUACAUCGGAGGCUGCUGGCAGCCAUUCCUUCAAUUAUCCUAUCACAUUCUUCCUUAUCUGAUUCCUCGAGAGGUUUUACGUUCCCUUCUAGAUCAUAGUAAUGGGAGCACAUUCUUGAAAUCAUUUCAGCAGCACCUUUCCAAUGUGCAUGAAUUGUGCCAUCACUGUUGUUCUUGAUCAGGACACCACUCUUCUUUUUCUCUGAAUUGAAAGCUUCCACAUGUAGAAUGUUGAAAUUUCUUUUGAUUUGAUCCAUCUCCAUAUUCAAUUCCGUAACAGCCCAUGAAAGAAUAGCUUUUUCAGUAGGGCUGCCUGAGAACUCAAAGUUGGAAGAUGGAUCGGAGGACUUGAAAACACUACCUGUAGUGUUUAAUCCAACCCCUUGAUGGAAUAAUUCAAGAACUUUUGCUGAAAUUGUUGUAUGACUUUCUGCCUUCACGUGCUGUAUGCCUAAGAAAAACUUUGUGACAGUCAUCUUGUUUAAUGUAAGAGUACCUGUUUUGUCUGUACAGAUGAUGGUUGCAGAGCCCAUAGUCUCACAAGCAGAGAGCUUCCUCACUAUUGCCUUAUCAUCCAUCAUUCUCUUCAUCAGGUAAGCCAGAGUAAGUGUAAUAGCUAAAGGUAAGCCUUCAGGAAUCGCGACAACAACAAUGAUAACAGCAUUAGCAACAAUUCCCACCACAGCAUUGAUCACAUCACCGGAUGAUGUCUUGCUCCGGUUGAAUUUUUUAUUCCCAUUCUCAUCUUUUGUGGUCCCGGUAAAGUAUAGUACCAAUUGGACAACAAAAACCAAGAAGGCAACUAACCAUCCAACUUUAUCAAUUGAUGAAGUGAGCUUUUCGAGUCGUUCUUGGAGAGGGGUGUGCUCGUUAGGGCCACUGCUAAUUUCGCUCAUCAUUUCACCCCAGGUCGUGUUCAUGUUAACCGAUGUCACAAGCAUCAUUCCAUAGCCAUCGACAACCUUAGUGCCAGAAAUCAAGAAUGGAUUUUGGCUGAUAUUAAUCUCUACAUGAUCACUUUCACCUGUCAUGCUAGAUUCAUCCACUUGUAAAGAAUGACCCUGUACCAAAAUCCCAUCAGCAGGGACUUGAUCUCCAAUCUUCAAGCAAAUGACAUCUCCAACCACAAUUUCAAAUAUUGAUAUCUGUUGGCGCCUCCCCUUUCUAACAGCUUCUACUUGAAUAAUUUUGGUCUCUUUAGAAAGCUUAUCAAACUGUCUGGUUUGUCUAAAAUGACUAGUAGACGAAACAGUGACGAAAAGUAACACAGCGACAUAAAUACCCCCUCCAUCACACCAUCCUUCUUUCACUCCAUCCUCCUUAAUUCCCAAUACAAUAGACAGAGCACCCCAGAUCAAAAGUACAAUGAUGGUGGGAUAUUUGAAUGAUUCCCAAACAAAAAUGAAGAAACUCUUAGCAGGUGCCUUACGAUACAUGUUGCUUCCAAAAGCCUCAUGUCUACGUGCAACGUCUUCUGGAUCUCCGCUUACACCAUUAGUUGUAUCAGUUUUGAGAGAAGCAGCAACACCUUGUACACCUCCAAGGUCAGCAAGUUCGUCAGUGUUUUUAUCUUUGACAAGCUUAGCUAGACUUGAGUGAUCAAUGCCUGAGAAAAAAGGGUGGUCUUGAACUACAUCAAUCGCGAUUGUAUCACCAAGUACUUUUGUUGGAUUGUAAGCAGGUGAUCCAUGACUAUAAGAUGGCACAAUGGCAGGUGAUACCUUAUUUUUAAAAGCUCUGGAACAGUAGAUGGUAGCAAACGCUAAGUGCCAUCUUUUUUUGUUGGAGGAUUCAAUUUCUGCUGGAAAAUCAGUUGUAAUAUUGUUCAUGCAGAGAUAACGCAAAUUUUCUUGAAACAUGUUGGAUGGAAAAUGUGUAUAAUAACAAUAAAUUAAAAGGAUAAAAAUAUCAAACAAUUGAUUGAAUGUGUUUUGGAGUGAAGUAGUAAUAAUCCCCUAAAGCUCAACCCGUCCCACACCACCCCAUUGUCAUCUCUACGCGUAAUCAAAUCAAUGAAGUUCUGUUGACUGUACUUCACAGAAAUUUCUACUUCCUGCCUUUGAAAAUGAUACAUUUGGAAUGUAUCUAAUUUUGAGUUUAAUCAGAACUUUACAUGUAAUUAAGUUCUACAAUUUAAUUUUUGGAUAAUUACAACCCUAAACACUUCGGUCAACUACAAAAUGUACACCAUCCAAGAUAUGUAAUUUGAGUUUAAUGGGGGAACUUUACACAAACAAUAUAAUUAGAGUCUUAACUUAAUAUAUAUAUGUUAGCACUUAGCAGUGUAAAAGAUCUUGGCUUUUAUACAGUCAAAUUUUUUUUAUCAGAUAUUACAGCAGAUUAGCAUGUAAUGAUUUCUUAAUUACUGCGAUAUUUCAUUAUUCUGUAGUUAGAAAAACUAUCCAUCUCACAUUAUUUAACAAAAUAAACAAUUUGAUGCACUAAGCUUUUAUUGUGUAUAGAAUUUAGGAAAGGACCAUACCACAUGAGUUUCUUUUUGUUACAAAUUGGUCACACCGACAGAUAACAAUAUGAUCCGUGUGGGGUAGUAUUAAUUAUGAAAUGCAGGGAAAGCAGCCAUUUGUUCGUUUCAAAAUGUGAAAAAACUUAAGAUGGUAGAGACGUAACCAACAAAAAUUGCUUGAGAUUGACCGAUACAUUUGUACUCUUUUAUCUCCAUUUUCACAUUUUUAUCUCUCACUCACCACCCCCACCAGUUCCCCUCAUCUGCACCCCUCUUCUUUUUGUCUUUUUUUUUUUUUUUUUUUUUUUUUUUUUUUACUUUUGUCUUUUUUCAUAUAUUUUUUUUUCACCUAAUGUAGUUCUUUAAAAAUUGAAAUGUGGAAGAUAAAAACAAAAUCCAUUUUUUCGUUUGGUAAUUGAGAAAAGGUUAAAACUAAAAGACAACAAAUCACAUAGUAAUGUAGGGUCCAUACCCAUUAUACAUAAAAUAUAAGGAAAGGUAAAUGCAGGAAAGGUUGAAAGAUUUAUUGCUUAUUGUUAAAGUCAACAAAUGCCGCAACAAACCAAAGCUCACCAUUUAUUUUUCAACUAAAAUCUUACCAAAAAAUCUGCAUAUUUGCAUAUUUGCGAAGGUUGAAUUUUUGGUGUUUUUAUGUUGUUACUAGUGACAUCAUUAGGAGUAGAAUUUUUGGUGUUUUUAUGUUGUCACUAGUGACAUCAUUAGGAGUAGAUUUCUCCUAUAAAUAGAGAGUCCUUACUUAUUUCAAAUACACCAAUUCAUAGAGAAAGAAAAAUAUAGAGAGCUGUGAAGUUUUCAUAGACUAUACAAGUCUUCUAUAAAUGGAGCUCAUUAGCUCAUUUAUAGAAUACACCAAUUCACAGAGAAAAAAAAAUAUAGAGAGCUGUGAGGUUUUCAUAGACUAUACAAGAAAAUAGUCUGUGAAGAAAAAUAGAGUGUGAGCGAUAUUUUAGUAAGGUGAAAAUCAAAAGAGUGUUAUUCCUUUUGAGUGUGUAGUAGUCACUUUGAGUAUUGUAUUCGUGACUACACGAUGUAAAAUUCCUUACUAUAGUGAUAUCAGUUGCUCCUCUUGGCCCGUGAUUUUUCCCUUAUUAAAAAGGGUUUCCACGUAAAAUUCUUGGUAUCAUUAUUUUCCCAUUUUAUUUCUAUCAUUUGGCCAUAUAUAUUUUUGUGUCAGUCCGCCUUUUUUCCCAACAAGUAAAGCAUGCACUACAUACAAAGAAAAUAAUGAGGCUGAUACGAUAAAAUAUAAGUUAAUUUAUUUUAUUUGACUUUUUUUCACAAAAAUUUGGAAACUAUCUGAAUAUUAACGAAAAUACUAGAAUUAGAGAUGAUUGAUUAAGCUAAAUUUAAACAAUUUUUAUAUAUACGUACUUAAAAACAAUUUUUAAGUGCUAAAGUUGAAUUUAGAAAUAAAAAGACAAAAAUGUUGAAGUUGAAAUAAUGUAUUUUUUUUUUUUUUAAAAUGUUAAAUAACUUAUUUGUUAAGAUAACUAAAACGUCUGUAAAAAUUUUAAUAUUCAAAAAUAAACUUAUUAUCCAACAUUUUUAGUAGUAUCAAACAAACUCAAAACACAAAUAAUAGUAUUAGUAAACUAAGUCAAAACUCAAAUUAAUGGCAUUUCAUUCACUUUAGAAUAUAAAUUAAUUAGAUGAAAUUAUUUUUAAUAAAUAUAAAUUAUUUAUUUAACUAGCAUGCAGUAAUUAAUAAUCUGACCAAAAAAAUCAAUUUCCCCAUAACUGCUUAUCCAAAAUUAACAAGCAAACUCAUAAAUAAAAAUAAGAAAAAGAAGAGCUUUUUUCUUCCUUUUUGUAUCGAUUUUAUUUUGUAUGGCAAAUCUAUAAAAUAAAAUGAACUAUUUGUACCAUACAUUAAAAAAAAAUCAAUCAAAAAUUCAAUUUUUUAAUUGUAUUUGGAAGUUGAUUUUAUUAAUAGAUAGAAAAAUGAAAAUAAUAAAAAAUAAAAAAGAAGAGAGAUGAGCGGAUAGGGGAACUGCGUGGGGUGGUGAGUAGGAGGUAAAAGAGUGAAAAUGGACCACAAAUUCAAAUAUCAAAAAUUGAGAAAAUGGACCACAAAGGGAAAGGUUGAACAACACUGUGCGUUCCAGACCUGAUCGAGAAAGAGCGUUAAUAGUUGUGUGUGUCGUACGGGAAACCGAGUUCGCACUCCCAUGUUGCCAACACAACAAAAGGGGCUUUACUUUCAGUAACUUCUUUCACUCGUUCUGUCGUCUCAUUUCAGCUUUCAACCUCACAUAACAAUACCUAGUUUUGAAAUACAGUAAAAUCUUACAAAAUUAAUAUUCAGUUAAUUAAUAAUCUCUCUAAAAUAAUAAUUUUCUCCAAUUCCUACUUGGGACAAGGGAAAAAAUUACCAAUCAUUUCAAUAAGAUAAUAUAAUAUAUUUUCAAAAGACCCAUAUAUAAAUAUAUGAUUCCGUAAAAUAUGAUGCCACAUGUUUUUCCUUUGUGCCAAAGAAUAUGGGUCCCGCGUAUUCUUUUGGCUCAAGUAAUUUUGACAUAUAAAUUGCUCAUUACUACACAUAUCAGCCAUGGUACAUUUGGGAAAAUCUUAGUAGCUAAGUUAGUUGACUAUCUGAACGGCUGAACUCACACCUUGCUGGUGAGAGUUCAAUUCCCUAAUUCCCUCCCAAUUCCGCUUUCUCCACCCCAAUUUUUAUUUUUUUUUUGAAAAACCACGGUACAUUUUACUAAUUUUAUUAUCAAUUGUUAAUGUAAAUAAAUAUUUCAAAUAACACUUUACCUAAAGUGAGAAAUCACUUAUUUUCCUUGAAAAUAUUUUCAGAGAAAACAUUUACUUUGUACCAUAUACAAUUGUCUAUACAAAUGAAGUCUUAAUCACUAUAAUUGACAAUAUUCUUAUCUACUUAUAAGAUAGGAUUAGAGUUCCAAAUUUCUAAAGUAUAAAAACCAAAAAAAUGUUUAAACCUAGAAUUGAAUCCUUAACACUCGAAACUCAGAAGUCUAAUCUUAAGAGGGAAGGUGGCAAACUCAAUUCUCUACUUUUGAACCUAAGUUUUAUUGAAUUUUAAUAUGUGAAUACUGAAAAGAGGUGAAAAAUCGAAAUUUAAUGCUUUUUAAGGUGACCUCAAGUUAAUAUACGAUAAUAAUUAAGUUGGUCAACUUUUUUAUUUUGAUAUGUAAUGAAUUUCAUAAUAUCUAUAGUCUGUGCAAAAGUUAUUGGGUUCUCAUGAACACAUAUUUAUUAUCUAGUGGAGAUCAAAAUAACCAUGAGGGAGGAAGGGUAACGGGAACCUAAUUCAUAGUCCAUUCAUUAUGAUCAUGGAUGGACAGAACCAAUUAGAAGUGCAAAUCACACAACCGAAGCUAACUAGGAAGUAGACCCUCAAAGUCUUCCGAAGAAGCAAGCUUCAACGCUCCCCAAGACAGCAGAGCUAUCAUUGUGGGGAGGUUAAAGAGCAUCCAACGCGCCAUGACUAGGACUCGUGUUAGAGGAGAGAUCUGAUAUUAGGUAGAAGGUGUUUAAAGAAAUUGCAAAUGCCAGUCUAAAGCUUCAAAUUUUUGAACAUAUUAUCAGCUCAAGUAUGUUGACAAUCAUAAACGAAGUACACUAUGGUUUUUAAUAUAAAUAAUGGAAUGUAACAUAAAUCAAUUAAUCAAAACAGAUACUAACUAGCUUAUGCAAAAAACAUAGGUAACACCUAAAUCUACUCAUUUAAACAAGGCUUUCAAGUAAUUCAACCUUAGAUAACUAAAGAAUGGUCUCUCUGGGACAUUUAUGCACUUGACAAGCCAACCAAUUGGCCAAGAUGCAGCUGCAAAUCCAAUGCAAAUUCCCCAUUGCCCCCAAUUCAGCCUCUCUGUAUUUGCAAACUUCUUUAGAAACUCCACCAUCACCACUUGGAGAACCAAUGUUAUUCCGAUGAUCGCCAUGAACAACUUGUUCUUGUGUAUUCCCUUAAAGACAUUCUUCUUCUCCAGGUUUCGCGCGUUGAAUUCAUUGAACACUUGGCAAAGAACAAACGUGUUGAAGAUCAACGUAUCGUUUACUCUCUUGCUGACACCAAAGAUUGAUUCUCCUCUGAAUUGUAAGGUCAGUAAAACAGCAAUCUGAUAUAAGGCCUGAGCCA
RNAcentral lists this long non-coding RNA (8362 nucleotides) under Solanum tuberosum (potato). RNAcentral describes it as "long non-coding RNA (STUB_LNC009383)". The record is from RNAcentral. Lineage: Eukaryota; Viridiplantae; Streptophyta; Magnoliopsida; Solanales; Solanaceae.